AGUGAACGCUGGCGAUAGGCCUAACACAUGCAAGUCGAACGGCAGCACAGUAAGAGCUUGCUCUUACGGGUGGCGAGUGGCGGACGGGUGAGUAAUACAUCGGAAUCUACUUUUUCGUGGGGGAUAACGUAGGGAAACUUACGCUAAUACCGCAUACGACCUACGGGUGAAAGCAGUGGAUCUUCGGACCUUGCGCGAUUGAAUGAUCCGAUGUCGGAUUAGCUAGUUGGCUGGGCAAAGGCCCACCAAGGCGACGAUCCGUAGCUGGUAUGAUAGGAUGAUCAGCCACACUGGAACAGGAACACGGUCCAGACUCCUACGGGAGGCAGCAGUGGGGAAUAUUGGACCAUGGGCGCAAGCAUGAUCCAGCCGUACCGCGUGGGUGAAGAAGGCCUUCGGGUUGUAAAGCCCUUUUGUUGGGAAAGAAAAGCAGCAGGUUAAUACCCCGCUGUUAUGACGGUACCCAAAGAAUAAGCACCGGCUAACUUCGUG
This 492-nucleotide ribosomal RNA is filed under the name uncultured bacterium. Its description in RNAcentral is "partial 16S ribosomal RNA". It matches the Rfam family "Bacterial small subunit ribosomal RNA", at positions 29 to 507 of the family's 1533-position model. The record is from RNAcentral.